Molecule: long non-coding RNA, 421 nt
Organism: Mastomys coucha (southern multimammate mouse)
Lineage: Eukaryota; Metazoa; Chordata; Mammalia; Rodentia; Muridae
Exons: 3
Source: RefSeq, a predicted model, not a curated record
UGUAUUGGUCCUCCUUACAUUACAUUGCUGAUCUCUACUUGUGGUGAUACCAUAGAGAGAAACUUGCAAAAGAACUUGUGAGGUUUCUGUAGCUUCUUACUGCUUCCUCAGUGGCCUCUAGCUGGUUGCCAAGUCUUGGGGUUUCUUCUGGAUUGAACUUCCCUGGCUGGAUCAUGUGUGGUGACUGCCAAGUGGACUGGAUUGCAGGAUAAAUAUUAGGCAUAAUUAGAAGCUGACCUAUGUGUAUGCUGAAAGCCAUCAAAAGAAGAAUCCUACCAUCAAUAGAAGAGCAUCUUACUAUCUGGGCCAACAUCAACUCAUAUAAUCAACUAGAACAUCAUUGAAGUAAUUUUAAAAAUUCUGCAGUGAAGAAAAUGGAAAGUUGAUGUUAAAGCUGCAAAAAGAAUCACAUCAUUUACAC